GGGGCUGCGGGAGCUGUGGCCGCGGGUGCCACAAGCCUGUGGGCUGUGCCGGCAACGAGGAGACCCAGGCGUGCGAGGGCUUGUGCGGCGCCUGGAAUUUAUGACAAAUAGCUCACUGCAGCUAAACUUUGAUCCAGUGUUACAGUCGAGCCGCCUGUUACACACAGGAGGGAGAUCCGUCCUGCAUCACAAUGAAAAGCCAGCCUUAGAGAGAGAGAGAGAGAGAGAGAGGGAGAGGGAGAGGGAAAGGGAGAGGGAAUGUGUCAGGUUUAUAAUUACAGACUGGUGAGUAUCUGACGCUAGAUCAAUUUCAGUGUGUGUGUGUGUGUGUGUGUGUGUGUGUGUGUGUGUGUGUUCGUUCUUCAAGCAUCCGGAGGUACGUGCCCUUUUUUGCUGUUUUAAUGAUGCAAAGAUCUGAGUUGGCGCUAACGCGUGGGAGGGGACCCGGGUCCCUUGGAAGGAGGAUGCACCCCCUCGCAGCCCCGGGCCCGGGGUGCGUUCCCAGCCCAGAGUCUCCGCACUGCACAGACAAAGGAGCCAGCGCAGACAACCAGAGGAGGCUGUAGCUUUUCUUGGAGCGAUGACUCAUUUCGGUUCACAAAGGAUUCUGGGCAGGGUAGUGAGAAGUCAGGUUGGCUGAUCCGUCCCUAUGACUUCACUUUGCAGAGAACAAGGCAGAAGAGGAGUGAUACUGCAGAUUCCCGAGGCACUGCAGUGCGAUACUGGCUCAGUGCGAGUGGCUGUGAUGUAUGAGAUAGGCACGGGACAGACCCCAGCUGUCCCAUGCAAAUAGGAGGAAAGACUGGUAAAGAGGAUCUGUUUGUUUGUUUUUUCUUCUAAAAUCGUUACCAGCAAAGUACAUUCACAGAGCCUUUUUAAAGGUGCUUCUUGCCAGCUUUUGAACCGAACUUGAACCAGUAUGUCGAGCCCCGAAUUGUAAGAAGAGCUGAGAGUUCUGGAAAACUCAGUUUUUAAAAGUAGACCUCCGAAGGUAAAGUACCAGAUUCCUGUUAUGUUCCACGUGCCCUCAGUAGCCAAUCUGAAAUGCUCAUAUUUAGGAUAUUAUUACUCGAAGGUUUACUCUUUCUUCUUAUUCCAGAUUCUAGACGUCCGUUUCUGUCACUGGCUCCUCCUUGUGCCUGGAUGCAG
Molecule: long non-coding RNA, 1149 nt
Filed under: Lynx pardinus (Iberian lynx)
Lineage: Eukaryota; Metazoa; Chordata; Mammalia; Carnivora; Felidae
Source: RNAcentral